This 84-nucleotide small RNA is filed under the name Flavobacterium flevense. Its description in RNAcentral is "Flavo-1 RNA". It matches the Rfam family "Flavo-1 RNA". The record is from RNAcentral. Lineage: Bacteria; Pseudomonadati; Bacteroidota; Flavobacteriia; Flavobacteriales; Flavobacteriaceae.
UCUUAGCCCUGAUGGAAGCGGCAUCCUCUUGUGGCUUGUUUCUUUAACAAGGCACAAGAGAUAGAGCGAACAGCGGGUGAAAAA